CCUACGGGGGGCAGCAGUGGGGAAUAUUGGACAAUGGGCGAAAGCCUGAUCCAGCCAUGCCGCGUGUGUGAAGAAGGCCUUCGGGUUGUAAAGCACUUUCAGUGGGGAAGAAAGCCUUGGGGCUAAUACCCUCGAGGAAGGACAUCACCCACAGAAGAAGCACCGGCUAACUCCGUGCCAGCAGCCGCGGUAAUACGGAGGGUGCGAGCGUUAAUCGGAAUUACUGGGCGUAAAGCGCGCGUAGGCGGUCUGAUAAGCCGGUUGUGAAAGCCCCGGGCUCAACCUGGGAACGGCAUCCGGAACUGUCAGGCUAGAGUGCAGGAGAGGAAGGUAGAAUUCCCGGUGUAGCGGUGAAAGGCGUAGAGAUCGGGAGGAAUACCAGUGGCGAAGGCGGUCUUCUGGACUGACACUGACGCUGAGGUGCGAAAGCGUGGGUAGCAAACAGGAUUAGAUACCCCAGUAGUC
This 465-nucleotide ribosomal RNA is filed under the name Vreelandella stevensii. RNAcentral's name for it is "partial 16S ribosomal RNA". It matches the Rfam family "Bacterial small subunit ribosomal RNA", at positions 338 to 795 of the family's 1533-position model. The record is from RNAcentral. Lineage: Bacteria; Pseudomonadati; Pseudomonadota; Gammaproteobacteria; Oceanospirillales; Halomonadaceae.